Molecule: long non-coding RNA, 10189 nt
Filed under: Physcomitrium patens
Lineage: Eukaryota; Viridiplantae; Streptophyta; Bryopsida; Funariales; Funariaceae
Description: long non-coding RNA (PPAT_LNC005844)
Source: RNAcentral
AUUAGGGUUUGGAUUAGGAUUUAGGAUUUGGUUAGGAUUUGAUUUAGGAUUUGGAUUAGAGUUUGAUUUAAGGUUUGGUUUAGGAUUUAGGAUUUGGAUUAGAGUUUAGGGUUGAAUUAGGGUUUGGAUUAGAGUUUGGAUUAGGAUUUAGGGUUUGGUUAGGGUUUGAUUUAGGAUUUGGAUUAGGAUUUGGUUAGGAUUUGAUUUAAGGUUUGGUUUAGGAUUUAGGGUUAGAUUAGGGUUUGGUUUAGGAUUUGAUUUAGGGUUUAGGGUUUGGAAUAGGGUUUAAGAUUUAAUUAGGUUUGGUCUAAAGUUGAGUGAAAUUCAAUAGGGUUUUAACUAGAAUUAAAUUAAGGUUGAAUUGACAUAUAUUUGAGUAAAAGUUGUGAUCAUUCUAAUAUUUCUUUAAGAAUUUUAUUGUUUGUUUGAAAUUUCUUUGAGUUUUUUUGAAUUGGAUUACGUUAGUUUACCAUUAUUAUAGUCUAAUUAGAACAUUGUUAGUAUUCUAUUUAGGAUUUUGUUAUCACAAUUUCUAUUCUUCUUUCUACAGCCAGGUGCCUGGAGCAUUCUCAAGCAAGACUUCACACAUUACGACAACGUACAAAGACUCCAUUUUUACAAUUAACAUUCUAAUUUUUCUAUUUGUCUAAGGAUUUAUAUACUAUUUAUCAUAUAUUAUGUUUUUGAAUACUCUAAAAGUAUCUUUUUGUUCUAAAACAACUAAUGAGUCAAUUUAAUAAUUCAUACAUCUAUUAGGCAAUUUUUUUUAUGAAUUAUAAUAUAAAAUAAAAAAAAUCAUAUUCAACUUACUUGAUACUCAAACAUUGAGUCAAGCAAUUGUCUUUCCUAUGAAGUGUGAUAAUUGACUUUUUAAAUUUUGAUCUAAAAGUUGUAUAAGUAGGCCUUAAUAUCUUUAUAAUUCAAUGGCAACAUCAUCACCUUCUAAAUACAUACAUUUGAAAGUGAAAGAUAUACAAAUUAACAUGGUACAAUUUAAAUUUUUUGUUAAGCUAAAAAAAACUUAUUAUUAAAAAAAAUUGUACUUUUAUUGUAAAAAAUCUAAACAUAGUGCUCAAUAUUAACAAAAGAAGCGACAUAACCAAAAAAUGAGAAGUAUGAAUGUUAAAGAGAAUAAUAUAUCAAAAAAAAAGUUUUUCCAGCUACAAUAGAGAUUGUGGAAUUAGAGCCUUGUGUAAUACUUAGUAAAGACCCUAUUCUCUCUUUAAAAUCUUCUCUAUAUUUUAUAAUAGAUGUUAAUUUAAUAACUAAAUAUCACAAAGCUUCUACCUUACUUGAUUCAAGAGCUUCAACUUAUUUCUUAAAGGAAGAGUUUGUUAAAAAACAUAGUAUAUCUUUAAUAAAGAAAACUAAACAUGUUCAUAUAAAAGUCAUGGAUGGUUGUCUAUUAUCUUUUAAAGAUGUUAUUCAUGAAAUCCUUCUUAUAGAAGUAGAAAUUAAUGGUCAUAAUAGCUUUGUAAUAUUUAAUAUUAUUAAAUAUAUCCCUAAUUUAGUCAUUUUAAAUUUAUCAUGGCUACAAAAAUAUAACUCUCAAAUAGACUAGAUUAAUUGUAGUCUUAAUUUUUUUUCAAAAUAAAACUAAUAGUUAUCUCAAUUAAAUAAAAAGUUAAAAUUUUAGUACAACCAAAUCUUUAUUUGUAGAUGCAAGAGCUUUUUGUAUAUUAUAAAAGAAUGAUUGCCUUGUAUUAUUUAUACCACAUAUAUUUUUAAUGGAAAAAAGACUUCAAGUAGCAUUUUAAGCCAAUAUCAACAUUAUGAAGAUGUCUUUGAAAAAAAAAUGUGAAUAUUAUUUUGAAAUAUCAUUCUUAUAAUUGUUUAAUUGAUCUUUAAGAAAGAACUCAAUUGCCAUUUGGACCAAUCUACAAUUCAUUGUAAAAUGAGUUGGUUGAAUUCAAAAAGUAUAUUGAAGAAAAGCUAAAAAUUUUAUAUGCCAUUCAAAAUCUCUAAUAGGAGCUCCAAUCUUAUUUGUAAAAAAAAAAUAGAUCAUUGUUGAUAUAUGUGGAUUAUCAAAGGUUCAAUAAAAUUAUCAUAAAAAUAGAUAUCUUCUAUCCUUGAUACCUGGACUUUUUGACCAAUUAAAUGAAGCUAAGAUCUAUAUUAAAAUAGAUCUAAAAAAGUAUACAAUCUAAUAUGUAUCAAAAAAUGAGAUGAAUUGAAGAUUGUAUUUUGAAUUAAGUAUAGAUAUUUUUAAUGCAAUAUCAUGCCUUAUGGAUUUUUAAAUGCACUAGUAGCUUUUCAACAUCUAAUAAAUAAUAUCUUUUGAGAGUUUUUGGAUAAUUUUUUUGUCUUUUAUUUAAAUAAAUUUUUAGUUUAUUCUAAAACAUAAAUAAAUAUAAAUUUUAUAUUCAUCAUAUAUUACAAAAAUUUAAAGAUGUAAGACUAUAGACCAAGAUAGAAAAGUAUAAAUUUCAUACUACUAAAGUUGAUUUUUUAGGAUAUAUCAUUUGAAAUGAUGGAAUUAUAAUGGAUCCUACAAAAAUCCAAACUAUUAUAGUUUAGAAGGUCUUAAAAACAAUAAGAGAUGUCUAAUAUUUUUUGGAAUUUACUAAUUAUUAUCAAAUCUUUAAUUAAAAAAAAAAUCAAGUUGUAGCUUUAUUUAAAAAUUUAACUUGUAAAGAUAAACUUAAGUGACCUGAAGAAACAAAAACAACAUUUGAAGCUUUGAAGACAACUUUUGUUUUUGCACAAAUCUUAUAUAGCAUCAACUUUUUUAAUACAUUUUUUACAGAAAUACACACAUCAAAUUUUAUUUUGGAUGUCAUAUUGUCACAAUUGGAGUAGAUAACAAAUUUCAUCUAAUAGCUUUUUAUUGAAGAAUUUAUUUUUUAGAAGUCAAGAUUAAUAAUAAGAUCUAUAAUAAAAAAACUUCUUGUAAUUAUGGAUUUAUUUCAAAAAUAGCAUCAUUAUCUAGAAGGCAUUCCAAUCUUAUAAUCAUGUAUACAAAUCACAAGAAUCUCAAGUAUUUUAUAUUAAUAUGUAUUUGUAAUUGUUGCUAAACUUAUUGGAGUAUAUCUUUGUUAACAUUUGAAUUCAAGCUUAUUUAUUGACCAAAAAAAUAACAAUUUUUAUCAAAUAUUCUUUCCAAAGAAUUUUAUCUUAUAAUUAAAGAAAAAAAAUGCAACCUUUAAUCAACAAUAGACCUUUCUCUUGAAACUAGAGCAAUUUCAUCCAUAAGCAAUAAAAUCAAUAUUAAUUAUUGAUUCAAUUUUUAUUCAAAAUAUCAUGAUAUUUCUAAGUUUGAAUUUUAAAAUAAUAUAUUCUAUUUUAAGUAUACUUAUAUAUUCUAAAAGAUAAAGUAUAAUUAUAUAUUUAUCAAACUCCUCUUGAAUUUUUAAUAGUAAGAUAUUUUAGAUGUAAAAACACUUCAAAGUUAAUAUCUAAAGAUUUUUGGUGGUUUCAAAUGUGGAAGGCAGUAAAAAAUUUUGUACAAUUAUAUGACAUUUGUUCAAAAUCAAAAACUCCUUGUUAUUAAUCUUACGGACUUCUUUAGCCAUUAUCUAUUCUUGAAUAAUCAUGGUCUUCUGUUUCUAUGAAUUUUAACACAAAUCUUUUAAUCUCAAGUUCUUAUGAUUCUUAUUCAUGAUAGUAGAUCAUUUUACUAAGAUGGGACAUUUUGUAUCAUAUAUAAAAUCUAUCAUAAGUGAAGAAAUAGCUAAGCUUUUCUUUGACAAUAUCUAUUGCUAUCAUAGAUUAUUCAAGGAUAUUAUGUCAAAUAUAGAAAGUCAAUUUGUAUUAAGAUUUCAAAGAAUUCUAAGUAAGAUUCUACAAGUAGAUAUAAAACUAUCUUUAGCUUUCUAACUUCAAAGUAAUUGACAAACAGGCUACAAAAAUCAAGUUUUGAAGUAGUAUUUGAGGUAUAUCAUCAACUACCAAUAAAAUAAUUGGAUAAAUCUUUUGCUAUUAACAAAUUUUAUCUAUAAUAAUAUGAUAUAUUUUUUUCUCAAUAAAUACCUUUCUUUAUUAAUUAUGGUUAUCAUCUUUGACUUAAUAUUUUUGAAUUUUUAAAAGUUGAUAAUAUUAUAGCAAAAAAAUUAAUAAAUCAUUUAAUUGAGUUAUAUACAACAAUUAAUAUACAACUAAAAAACAAUUCAAAAAAAACAAAAGAUCAAUGUAGAUGCCUAUUAAAAAGAAGAACUUCAACUCCAUAUUAGAAAUAAGAUAUGAUUAUUAUGUUGUAAUAUCAAGAAUAUUUGUAUUUGUGAUAAAUUGGAUUAUCAUAGAUUUAAACUAUUUUUUAUAUUUAAAUAAGUUAAUUUAGUUGCUUAUUAAUUAUAUCUAUUUUAACUUAUAAAGAUCUACUUUUUAUUUUAUAUGUCUCUUUUGAACCAUAUAAAAUAAUAAAUAUCUCAAGAAGAAGAUAAAUGUCACCGCUUCAUACAGAAAUAGAUAAUAAUGAAGAAUUCAAAGUGGAAGAAAUCUUAUAUUCAAAGCGAUACCAAAAUAAAUUAGAAUAUCUUAUUUAUUGGCAUAGAUAUGAUAUAAAUGAAGACAUAUAGGAGUCAAUUAAAAAUCUCAUAAAUGAAAUAGAUUAUAUCAAAGCUUUUUAUUUAUUGACAUCUAUUAAAAAUAAGAUAAAAAGUCAAGUAAUUUUUUAUUAUAUAAAAAGAUAUUUAAUAAAUAUUACAUUCCAACUUUUAUUAUUUAUUGUGAUUUUUUUAUACUAAUAGUAUUAAUAAGAUAAAGAAUUAAUAGCAAGCUAAUUCAAUUUAAGAUCGAUUAUUUGCUAACUUAUCAAACAAGAUAAUGUAAUUAUCAUAACUUUUAAGAUAAUAUAAUAAAGAUGAAUACUUUCAAGAAUAAUAUGUUUUUUUUAAAUAGAUAGCAGGAUACAAUACAUUUGGUAUCAUGACCUUAGAAGAGACUUUUAGUAUUUGAUAAUUUUAUUAGAGGUAGAAACGAAUCUUGAUAGUAUUACAAAUGCUUUAUUUAAAGAAAGUUACAAAGGUUCAACAAUGUUCUAAUAACUACAUGGUCUUUCUACCUUAGAAUAGAAUAUUAUUGAUGGUUGAGAGAACCUAUUAACUACCUUUAAAGAAAACAAAGAUCAAAGUAUGUAGCAAAUAUAAUUUGCCACAUCUUGGACUUCUUCAACAUGUGAUCACUGCUCUUUAUGGAACUUAUUUUUUGAAGGGGAGAUAACGUCACAAACAUAUAUAUUUACUCCCAUAAUUAUUUAGACAAUAUCAAUGCAUAGAAGUAAAUAAAAAUAUCUAUUUUUAUUUAUUUUGUAGUAUAAGCUAAUCAUAUGGUAUAUGCAUAAAAAACUUACCUUGUAAGUUAAAGCACAUGUCUUACAAAUUGGACUUAAGUCAAAGAUCUUAUAGAAAAUUUCAAUGUAGCUUUUAGUUAGAUAAAGUAUAUAGAGGCAAGAGUAAAUCAUUCUUCACUCUUAUCAAUUCUUUUCUUGUUUCUAGUCUAAUUUUAAGAAACUCUUGUUUUCUUAUCUUUUGGCAAUAGAAAUUCUAGUUUCUUUUUAGUAUAAAUACUUUGUAUUUUUAUUUUUCCAUCUUAUUUUAAGAAAAGUUUUACUUAUUUAUUUGCUUUUAUUGAAUUUUUAUCUUUGAUAGAUUAUAGAUUUUUAAUGAAUCUAAGAAUUGUAUCUUUAUAUUAAAAUAAAAAUAAAAAUUAUAAUAUUGGAUAAAAGCUUAAUAAUUCUAGAUAUGAUUAUAUUUUAAUAAUCAUGCUCAAUUAAUUUUUUAUAGAAGAUUCUAUGAUUAAUAAUUCUAAAAUAUAAUUUUUAUUUAUUUUUGGUAUAUAUUGACUUAUUUAGUUUACAUAUAUAAAAUUUAUUAUAAUAAAAAUAUAUCAUUAUAAAAAGAAGUAGAGUUUUUUUGAAUUUAGAAAAAAAACUAUAAUAAUUAUAUAAUUUAUAUUCUUUUUUAUAAAUUUUUUCUAAAAUAGUAGAAAUUUUUUGAUUUGAUAUUAAUAAUUUUUAUAUAUAUAUGUGUAUAUAUAUAUAUAUAUAUAUAUAUAUAUAUAUAUAUAUCUCAAUUUAAAGAAAAAAUUUAUUUAAAUUACUUUAAUAAUUUUAAAAAAAAGAAGAUAAACAGAUUUGAGACUUUAAUUUUAUGUUAGCUAAUACUUUUUAAUUUUAAAAGACAUGAUUUUUUAUAAAAUAAUAAAAUAAUAUUUUUUUUGAUUUUUAUAAAUUUUAAAUAAAUUUACUUUUAGAAUAUAUAAGAACUAAAAUAAAAAUUAUAAAGUAUUAAAAAUUAAAGAAUAUUAAAUUAAGACUAACAUAUAAAAUAUAUAUUUUUUUAAAAUUUAAAACUAAGUUAGUUUUUCUUUUAUUUAUAGUAGCUAAUGAGAUCUUGUAGAAGUUAUUUGAAAAUAAUAAGAAUUGGAGGACAAAAUUCUAAACUACUUAAUUCUUUUAUAAUAGCUUUGUAACUUCAAAAAACUUCAAGAAAAGUUUACAUGGUUGUAUGGCAUUUCUAUAUUGAAUAAAUAGAACUUUGAAGUCACAACACAUAGCAUCAACAAGGUUGUACACAAAGAGAGUAUGAAGUAAGCUAUCUCUCACUUCAAACACCCAAUAUUUAUAGGUUGUGGUUGCUGCCUUACAAGAUAACUUCCACUCAUUGACUUUUAUACACAUGAUCCUAGGUCUUAGGAUCCUUUGAUAUGUAACGUCUUUCAAGGAUAUCCUAUGGUCUUUCGAUCCUUUGAUAUCUUACUAACUACAAAGGUAUCUCAUGUUAAAUACUAAUUACUCUUAUCUAGUCUUUGGAUAUUCCUUAGUUCAUACUUUAUCCUCUUAGCUUUGACUCUUGGUCCUUGACUUCAUCCUAUAUCCAUAGGAUGUCCUUUUAUAUAUCAAGAGUCAAUCCUUUGACCAUUAGUAAUUUAUCUAAGAUAAUAUCUUCUAUAAAGUAACUUAUUUUACUUUCACUUUUAUUUCAACACUCCUACUUUACUAUUGGUCAAAAGACUUUCAAUCCUAAUACCUUUAUUAAUAUGUGGUGUCUAUCCUUUACUAAUGUCUUUGUCAACAAAUUAAAAAGCAUGUCUUUUAUUACAUAAUAUUUCAUAUCAAUUACUCCCAUUUCAAUCUUUUUUCUUAUAAAGUCAUGUUGAAUGUCAAUAUACUUGAUUCUUGAAUGAUGCUUUGGAUUCUUUGCAAAUACAAGAUAUCCUUAGUUUUUACAUUUCAUUGGAAUUGCUUCCAUUUGUACAUCUCCAAUGUCUUCUAAAAGUUGUCUUAGCCGUAUUGUCUCUAUUGUACCAUGGUUUGCUGCCAUGUACAUCUAUUGUUGACCUUGCAAUUGUUGGUUGUCUUCUGCAAUUCCAUAAAAUUGUUCCUACUCCAACAAAGAAUACAUAUUCCAUUGUUGACCUUCUAUCAUUUGUAUUUCCAACCCAAUCCACAUCACAAUAAUCAUGUAUAGUAAUGUUAUCAUUUCCAAGUCAUAGUUUGAAGUUCAAAGUACCUUUUAAAUACUUCAUAAUCAUUUUGAUGGUUUCCCAAUGGAUUGGUCCAACUUUUAACAUGUGAAAACUCACAACACUUAUCGCAUAUGUAAGAUCCAUCCUUGAGCCAAUCAUUGCAUACAUUAGUGAGCCCACUAUUGUCUUAUAUAGAACACCUUGCAUUUGUCCUUCAACUUCAGCAAACUCUUCUUCCAUGAGCUUCAUCAACUUCAAAUUAGCCUCCAAAGGUGUUCCAAUAGGCUUACACUCCCUCAUGUUGAAUCGUUUCAAUACCUCUUCAAUGUACUUACUUUGGAUUAUUGUAAUGGUCUUUUUAGCACGAUCUCUCACAAACUCCACUCCUAAACAAUAGUGAAGCUCUUCCAAAUCACUCAUCUCAUAUUCUUUUUCUAACUUUUCCUUCAAACAAUCCAUCAUCUUCAUAGCAUUGAUUGAGUAUAUUAAAUCAUCAAUAUAAAAGAUCACAAUCAAUAUUAACUAAUUUGAUUGCAUCACAUACAAUGAAUGAUUAGCCUCAUUCCUUACAAAUUCUUUGAUCACAAAGCAUGUAUCAAUACAUUGAUACCAUGCCCUUAGAGAUUGCUUGAGCCUAUACAAGGAUUUCUUCAACUUAUAGAGAAGGUCUUAUUUCCCAUCUUCAACAAAUCCUUGAGGUUGAUCCAUAUAGAUGUCUUCUUCUAACUUUCCAUUCAAAAAAAUCGUCUUCACAUCCACUUGAUGCAUCUCCAAGUUCAUUGUUGCCCCAAUUGCGAUAAUGGUUCUAAUAGUGGUGAACUUGGCUAUGGUGUUGUGAUGUAACACGACUAACAGGUGAAAGAGUAUAGAAAUUAUUAUAAUGUAGGAGAUCUUGGUUCAAAGUAUUAGAGCAAAUUAUCUUAAAAAUAUAGUUAAUAGUCAAAAAGGUAGUAAAACUAAAAAGUACUAAUGCUGCCUUUUAGAAAGAUGACUUCUACUUACUUUGUAAGACCAUAAAUAAGACAAAACAAAGUAGAUUGAAAUAAUAAAUGAUAAAGACAUCUUUAGAAGGAAGUUAAGAAUAAAUUCUAGCAAAAUUUACUUAGAAAAAUUAGAUAUUGAUACCCAAAGAGGGCUAGUUAUGAACUAGGAUCUAAAUCAGACCCUGAGAUACAAAACUGAGUCUCGAUAAUGAUUGCAAGGUUCUUUUGUGGAUCAAAGAAUGGGAUUUGAUAGCAAACUAAAUAGGAUUUCUAUAAGCAUUAGUUUUGAACAAUUUAGAUUUGUAAUGACUUUGUAAGAGCUUUACAAAGUCAAAUUUAUUUUCAGAUGACUUGGAUUUUAUAAAAUAAAAUAGGAUUGACAUUUUGGGUGAUUUCAAGAGUUUUGUAAUAGAUCUAUAAGUGAAAUUUUGUGGGUUAAUGGUCAUAGUUGUGCUUAAUAUGUGUUAUGAAUCUUAGCUUGAUCUAAUGGUUGAAUUGAGGAUUAUUGAGGUUUAAAAGGAUCAUAGUCUAAGAAAGUAGAAUUUUAGGUCCAAUGAAGGUUUUUAAGAUUUCUUACAAUCUACUAGUUGAAUUGGAGUUAAAUUUGUAUAUGAGGAUAUGAGACUUGUUUUCCUAUGUGUAUAAAAAUUUUAAAAUCAAUAAAAUGGUGAAAAAAAAGAGAUAUUGGCUCUAAGAGAUUAAUAUUAAGGUUGAAAAAGGAGGCCGGCUAAUAUCCAAGCAUGUUUUUGAGGCUAUCGUCUAUUUGAUAAUUCCGAUUUUUUUAAAUUUUUUUUAUACUUGUUUUCAAUUUAAUUUUUAAAAAGAGUAAAAAAUUUGAGUUAAGAUCAAUAAUUCAUUCAUUAGUAAUUGAGGUUUAAAUCUAUUGUAGGAAUUACUAGAAUUUAGCUAGGAUUUGAUUAAGAGUUAGAAUUUGGUUAAGAUUUGAUUUAGGAUUUAGGAUUUGGUUUAAGGUUGGUUAAGAUUUGAUUUAGGAUUAGAAUUUGGUCAUGAUUUGAUUUAGGAUUAAGAAUUUGAUUUAGGAUUGGUUAGGAUUUUAUUUAAGAUUUAAGUUUUGAUUUAGAAUUGGUUAGGGUUUGAUUUAGGAUUUAGGAUUUAGUUAAGGGUUUAGGAUUUGGUUAGGAUUUGGUUAGGAUUUGAUUUAGGAUUAAGAUUUGAUUAGGAUUUGGUUUAGGAUUACAGAUUUGGUUUAAGAUUGGUUAAUAUUUGAUCUAAGGUUUGAUUAGGAUUUGAUCAAGAUUUCAUUUAGGAUUUAGGAUUUUAUUUGAGUUUGUUUAGGAUUUAAGAUUUAUUUAGUUUUUGGCCUAAAGCUUGAAUGAAGUCCAAUAGGAUUUCAACAGGGAUUAAAUUAAGAUUGAAUUGAGAUAUAUUUGAGAUAUGUUUGUAAUCAUUCUAAUAUUUCUUUAAGAUUUCUUAUUGUUUCUUUGUAAUUCCUUUGAGGUUUCUCUGAAUUUGAUUAAAUUUUAUUUAGCAUUGUUAGUGUUCUAUUAGAAUUAAGAUUUUACUAUAGCAAUUUCCAUUCUAUCUUCUACAGCCGGAUGCUUAGAUCAUUUUUAAGCAAGAUUUCAUGUAUUAUGACAACGGAAGCAAAUAUCUCAUUAAAAUCAAUUCUAGCAACUUGUGAAUAUUCUUUGGCAAUCAACCUAGCCUUAUAUCUCACAACAUUAUCCAUUGCAUCCCUUUUGGUUCUAAACACCCACUUACAACCAAUUGAAGAUUGAUUUGGUGGAAGUUGAGUCAAUUCCUAUGUUCUAUUAUCGAUGAAAAAUUUGAACUCUUCUUCC